UAAGUUUCAUAUAAGUUUCAGUAUAAGAUUUGGUUGAGGCAAACUAAAAUGAAGAAAUGAACAUAUGGACAGACGACAUACAAGCAAUUACAAGGGACACUUAAUUUCCCAUUCACUGCUGUUUUAAGAGGAAUAAGAGUGUCUGGUAUUUCUAUUCCUUUGUUUUAUCUGAUUUAAAUCAUAAUUCUGAUAAAAUAAGAGGG
This 203-nucleotide long non-coding RNA is filed under the name Mytilus galloprovincialis (Mediterranean mussel). The record is from RNAcentral. Lineage: Eukaryota; Metazoa; Mollusca; Bivalvia; Mytilida; Mytilidae.